Molecule: long non-coding RNA, 636 nt
Filed under: Equus caballus (horse)
Lineage: Eukaryota; Metazoa; Chordata; Mammalia; Perissodactyla; Equidae
Description: lncRNA (ENSECAG00000033979.2)
Source: RNAcentral
AGGCCCACAGGCAAUUCAGAAAGCUCAGGAUCCUCACUGUGGACCCACUUUCCGCCUUAGUGAAUGUAAAUUUUUCUGUGUUCAACAAUCAACGACCAAGAGGCUUGUGAGCAGACCGUGCGUGCCCUGGCUCCUCCAGGCUGCUGAGCACGCCCCAUCACCUGAUGGAUGCUGGCUACGCUGGUUUCUCAACAGGCAAGAUCAACCUGACAGAUGCUCCCUGGACAGAGAUUUUCCUGCCAAAUGAUGGAAGCUCUGGCCUUUGGCCACUGUCUACUUCCUCCAGGGCCAUAGAGGAGGAGCCCUGUCCUGCAGGCUUAUUGACAGAGAAGUGCCUGAAGCAGCUGGCCCAGGGCCUUUCCAACCCAAAGGAUUUAUAAUUCUCUGAACCCAUUUCUCAUUGGACAAUAAAUACCAUUUUGCUAAGGCUCCCAAUGUAUCCAGAUUAUUCAUAUAUUCUAGCUAUUGUGUGGGAUUAAAAUUGGCCACCCUGAAAUGUGUCUCUUUGGCAUGAGGAUUGUUUUGGGCUGGUUGCUUUUAAGAACCUGCAGACAGGGGACAAGAAGAAGUUACCCUUUGUAAGAGGCAUUUACAUUUGUAAGGGGAAUCUCCAUUUGUAAAAAUAUCUCCCUCUCU